CCCAGACUCCUACGGGAGGCAGCAGUGGGGGAUAUUGCACAAUGGGGGGAACCCUGAUGCAGCGACGCCGCGUGGGUGAAGGAGCGUUUCGGCGCGUAAAGCCCUCUCGGCAGGGAAGAAGGAGGACGGUACCUGACUAAGAAGCCCCGGCUAACUACGUGCCAGCAGCCGCGGUAAUACGUAGGGGGCAAGCGUUAUCCGGAUUUACUGGGUGUAAAGGGGGCGCAGACGGCAGCGCAAGCCAGGAGUGAAAGCCCGGGGCCCAACCCCGGGACUGCUCUUGGAACUGCGCGGCUGGAGUGCAGGAGGGGCAGGCGGAAUUCCUGGUGUAGCGGUGAAAUGCGUAGAUAUCAGGAGGAACACCGGUGGCGAAGGCGGCCUGCUGGACUGCGACUGACGUUGAGGCCCGAAAGCGUGGGGAGCAAACAGGAUUAGAUACCCUAGUAAC
This 448-nucleotide ribosomal RNA is filed under the name uncultured bacterium. Its description in RNAcentral is "partial 16S ribosomal RNA". It matches the Rfam family "Bacterial small subunit ribosomal RNA", at positions 330 to 794 of the family's 1533-position model. The record is from RNAcentral.